This 107-nucleotide small nuclear RNA is filed under the name Sus scrofa (pig). The record is from RNAcentral. Lineage: Eukaryota; Metazoa; Chordata; Mammalia; Artiodactyla; Suidae.
GUGCUCGCUUUAGAAGCACAUAUACUAAAAUUGGAAUGAUACAGAGAAGAUUAGCAUGGCCCCUGUGCAAGGAUGACACAAAAAUUUGUGAAGUGUUCCAUACUUUU